CUCAAAUGUUUUGUGGGUCUUCGCUAGUGUCUAAUUAAAACAUAAUAUAAGGCAUCAGCUUAGCAUGAUAGGGUUGAGUGAACAGAACAGUUUUAAUUUUAUAUUUGAAAGUUUGCCUUGUAGUAUUUCUAAGAAUUUACAUCUCAGUGGAGUACGGUGUAGUAGAAUUCACAUUCAUUAUUACAAAACAGUUCUUCUUUUUGAAAUACUGUAGAUUUAUGUGUUUAUAAAAGUCUUCCUUAAUGAAAAAAUAGUCCAGAUGACACUAUUGGAGACUUGAAAAAAUUGAUAGCAGCUCAAACUGGAACUAAGUGGGAUAAAAUAGUUCUGAAAAAAUGGUACACGGUUUUUAAGGAUCAUAUUAAACUAGAAGACUAUGAAAUCCACGAUGGUAUGAAUCUGGAACUUUAUUAUCAGUGAAAUCCAAUUCAGUUGAAGUAAUUUUACAUCAACAUGAAAGAUCACCCAGGAACUGGAGUUUUCACACGUGUUUCAUGUUUAGAGCUAAAGAUAUGUCAAUGUGAAAUAAGAUUGACACUUCUGAAACUUAUCUAACUGUGUGAAUUUCCAGAGUCAAAGAUGUUACAAAAGAAUUGAAGAUUAGACAUAAACAAAAACUGAGUUCUUAAAGACAAUUUGUUGAAUUUUCUUAUUAAAUGCUCUUCCAUGUAAACCAUAUGUUUGAAUUGUUCCAUCACCCUUAUGUUUCUCUCUUUAACGGUUUUGAAACGGUAAGUUUUAGUAAUAUAGUAAAAAAAAAUUAGUAUUAUCUUUUGAUUUUGUUAGACGAAAACAGUCCAUGUCAAUUACGUUCAAGUGUUUCAUAUUACUACUUUACAAAUGUGCACAAUUUAACUGUAGUAUCAUCUUUUAAAGAUGUUUAAUUUCGUACAUUUAAAGAACCAUUAUGAAACCUAAGGAAGAAAAUCAUCAUUUCUAUGUAAAACAAUUCUUUACAUACAGUUUGCUGUAUUGAACAUGUUAACUUUAAUAGCAGAAAGUAAUUAUUAUGAUUUCAUGAACAUUUUGGAAAUAAAGUGUUGCUUUCGUUAACUCUGA
Long non-coding RNA from Limulus polyphemus (Atlantic horseshoe crab), 1059 nucleotides. RefSeq lists it as uncharacterized. NCBI's taxonomy places the organism in Eukaryota, Metazoa, Arthropoda, Merostomata, Xiphosura, Limulidae. The record is from RefSeq and is a predicted model, not a curated record. The transcript has 2 exons.